AGAGUUUGAUCCUGGCUCAGGACGAACGCUGGCGGCGUGCUUAACACAUGCAAGUCGAGCGAGGCCCUCCUUCGGGGGGUGCCCUAGCGGCGAACGGGUGAGUAACACGUGGGCAACCUGCCCUCAGCUCUGGGAUAACUCCAAGAAAUUGGUGCUAAUACCGGAUGUGACCGCUGACCGCAUGGUCUGGUGGUGGAAAGAUUCAUCGGCUGAGGAUGGGCCCGCGGCCUAUCAGCUUGUUGGUGGGGUGAUGGCCUACCAAGGCGACGACGGGUAGCCGGCCUGAGAGGGUGACCGGCCACACUGGGACUGAGACACGGCCCAGACUCCUACGGGAGGCAGCAGUGGGGAAUAUUGCGCAAUGGGCGAAAGCCUGACGCAGCGACGCCGCGUGAGGGAUGACGGCCUUCGGGUUGUAAACCUCUUUCAGUAGGGACGAAGCGCAAGUGACGGUACCUACAGAAGAAGCACCGGCCAACUACGUGCCAGCAGCCGCGGUAAUACGUAGGGUGCAAGCGUUGUCCGGAAUUAUUGGGCGUAAAGAGCUCGUAGGCGGUCUGUCGCGUCGGCUGUGAAAACCCGAGGCUCAACCUCGGGCCUGCAGUCGAUACGGGCAAACUAGAGUACUGCAGGGGAGACUGGAAUUCCUGGUGUAGCGGUGAAAUGCGCAGAUAUCAGGAGGAACACCGGUGGCGAAGGCGGGUCUCUGGGCAGUAACUGACGCUGAGGAGCGAAAGCGUGGGGAGCGAACAGGAUUAGAUACCCUAGUAGUCC
RNAcentral lists this ribosomal RNA (774 nucleotides) under uncultured bacterium. RNAcentral describes it as "bacterial SSU rRNA". It matches the Rfam family "Bacterial small subunit ribosomal RNA", at positions 8 to 796 of the family's 1533-position model. The record is from RNAcentral.